AUUGAACGCUGGCGGCAUGCCUUACACAUGCAAGUCAAACGGCAGCACGGGAGCAAUCCUGGUGGCGAGUGGCGAACGGGUGAGUAAUAUAUCGGAACGUGCCCAGUCGUGGGGGAUAACGCAGCGAAAGCUGUGCUAAUACCGCAUACGAUCUACGGAUGAAAGCGGGGGAUCGCAAGACCUCGCGCGAUUGGAGCGGCCGAUAUCAGAUUAGCUAGUUGGUGAGGUAAAGGCUCACCAAGGCGACGAUCUGUAGCUGGUCUGAGAGGACGACCAGCCACACUGGAACUGAGACACGGUCCAGACUCCUACGGGAGGCAGCAGUGGGGAAUUUUGGACAAUGGGCGAAAGCCUGAUCCAGCAAUGCCGCGUGCAGGAUGAAGGCCUUCGGGUUGUAAACUGCUUUUGUACGGAACGAAACGGUGAGCUCUAAUACAGUUCGCUAAUGACGGUACCGUAAGAAUAAGCACCGGCUAACUACGUGCCAGCCGCCGCAGUAA
This 500-nucleotide ribosomal RNA is filed under the name uncultured bacterium. RNAcentral's name for it is "partial 16S ribosomal RNA". It matches the Rfam family "Bacterial small subunit ribosomal RNA", at positions 30 to 523 of the family's 1533-position model. The record is from RNAcentral.